This 21-nucleotide unclassified non-coding RNA is filed under the name Mus musculus (house mouse). RNAcentral describes it as "oocyte_clustered_small_RNA4689". The record is from RNAcentral. Lineage: Eukaryota; Metazoa; Chordata; Mammalia; Rodentia; Muridae.
UUAGCCUCGUAACCCACAGCA